Long non-coding RNA from Mesocricetus auratus (golden hamster), 2173 nucleotides. RefSeq lists it as uncharacterized. The record is from RefSeq and is a predicted model, not a curated record. NCBI's taxonomy places the organism in Eukaryota, Metazoa, Chordata, Mammalia, Rodentia, Cricetidae. The transcript has 3 exons.
GCAACCUGCCGCCGCUGGGUACCGGACCCUGUGCGCGCCUGGACGUGGCGCAGGAGACAGUGGGGCCUGACUCGGGUGGUGGUGAUUGUCGCUGACCCGGAAGAAGCUGGGCUUUCUCAAAGGAGGGGAGGAUUAACGACAGAGAGGGCCCCCUGGUUCUUAUUCAUCCAGCCUUCCCCGGCGCACCGUGGCGGAAAGAGGCAGUGGGGGAGGGGAGGCAUGAAAUCAUGACCAAGAACAAUCCAGAGAACAAAAGGCACUUGGGGCAAAAGGUCCUCUGCAUCUUUUCCUGGAGUCUCUCUCACAGUUCCCCAAGGAAUUGCUCACCAUGGGUCAUUCUUUUGCUUGUGUUCUGACACAAGGGAACAAUCCCUUCCUGCCCCACAACGAGUGUUUAUUACAGCUUCAUCUCCUGGAGCGUGAUCAAGCAAGGCAUACUGAAGCAAUAUGGCAGCAAUCCUUGAAUAUGUCUUUCUAUAGAGAACUACGUCGGGGAAGUGGUGGCGCAUGCCUUUAAUCCCAGCACUUGGGAGGCAGAGGCUGGUGGAUCUCUGAGCUUGAGGCCAGCCAAGUUUACAGAGUGAGUUCCAGGACAGCCAAGACUACACAAAGAAACCCCAUCUUGAGAACAUACAAACAAACAGGACUACUAGGUCAGGAUUAAGAUUUUUUAUAAAAAUUCAUUAUUAUUAUUAUUAUCGUGUAUGCAUGAUGCGAAUGUGUUGGUCCACGUGUGGCCCUCAGAUGGUAACUGUGUGGAAUCAGUUCUUCCCUCCAACCUUUACGUGGGCCCCAGGGACUGAAUAUAGGUCGUCAGGCUGUGAAGCAAAUGUUUUACCCACAUCUCACCAAGGCCAGGGUUUAUUCUGAUAUUUUUAGUGUUUGGCUUGAAUGAUGACAGCCAACAUUAGCACCAGCAGAUAGAGACAUCACCUUUGUAAAAUCUUUGUACUGAUGUUUGCUAUGCCUAUGGUUACUUUCCUUGCUCGUGUGACAAAAUACUUAUAAAAUGCAACUUAAGGAAGGAAGCGUUUUCUUUGGCUCACAGGCUGAGAGCACAAUUCACCAUGGCAAGGAGAUCAUUGCAGCCAGUGCAUAAGGCACAUGGUUGCACUGUGGUGUAGUCAGGGGUGUGUUCUGGUGCUGUUAGUUUUCUGUUUUAUUAAAAGCCCGGAAUCUCAGCCCAUUGGAUGGUGUAACCCACAGUCAAGGUGAGCCUUUCUUCCUUAUUCAGUUAAACUCUCCGGAUACACUCAUCAAUAUGUCCAGAGGUAUGGAUCCCCAGGGAGUCUCAAUCCAAAAAGGUUGAUAACUGCACCCUUUGUCAACUAGAAAUCCAAAUACAUUGGUCUAAAUGAAGACAUUUUACUUUCACCCGCUAAUAUUUCAUUUUCAUCUUAUAAUGCAAAGUAUACUUAGCCCAUCUCUAAAAGUUCCCACACUGUUCAGAAGUCCAAAACCCAAAUUCUCUUCUGAGGUUCAAGGCAAUCUGUUAACCAUGAGCCACUACAGAAUGUUUUCUAAAAAGUUAUCUACUUCAAAUAUACAAUGGUACAGAAUAAACCUUCCCUGCCCAAAACUGAUAGAUGGGAGGAGAGCAAGGAAAAACCAGACUGAGGAAGACGAAAUCUACCAUGGCAGACACUGACUCUUGCAAAGUCGGUAUCUAGCAUCUGGGUUUUGCGAUGAUAACUAGGACACUUCUCUGGGGGUUUUAUAGUUGACUGGUUCCCCGUAUCCUUACCACAUCUGUUAAAUCAUUUUUACUUUUUAUUACAAUAUUUAUUUACAUGAUCAUUUUAUACCCAACCACAACUAAACAGCUUAGGGAAUAAAGAAAGACCAAGGAAGGGAACUUGGUUUCUUUCAGCGAUUAGGCCAUAAAUCAGAUGGGCAGUCUCAGCUUGUAAUAGCACAUGCAGAGUAUGGUUUUACAUUUUACACAGUACACUACCUAUCUGAAAAUUAUACGCAUCGAUACUCUUUAUCUGUAUCUAACAUGGAAAUAAUGUGUGACGUGGGUGGAUGAGAAAAUGAAUUUUAUUACAAAGUCUGUCAUUUCAACACUUUCUUCUGUUAUUAAGGGUCAAUCUUCUUUUAACUAAAAUCUGUGAAGUAACAUUUAGUCUUACCCUUGACAGCUAUUAGAAAAUAAAAAUGAGUUUGCAUUUUU